This 497-nucleotide ribosomal RNA is filed under the name uncultured bacterium. Its description in RNAcentral is "partial 16S ribosomal RNA". It matches the Rfam family "Bacterial small subunit ribosomal RNA", at positions 28 to 507 of the family's 1533-position model. The record is from RNAcentral.
GAUGAACGCUGGCGGCGUGCCUAAUACAUGCCAGUCGAGCGAACAGACGAGGAGCUUGCUCCUCUGACGUUAGCGGCGGACGGGUGAGUAACACGUGGAUAGCCUACCUAUAAGACUGGGAUAACUUCGGGAAACCGGAGCUAAUACCGGAUAAUAUAUUGAACCGCAUGGUUCAAUAGUGAAAGACGGUUUUGCUGUCACUUAUAGAUGGAUCCGCGCCGCAUUAGCUAGUUGGUAAGGUAACGGCUUACCGAGGCAACGAUGCGUAGCCGACCUGAGAGGGUGAUCGGCCACACUGGAACUGAGACACGGUCCAGACUCCUACGGGAGGCAGCAGUAGGGAAUCUUCCGCAAUGGGCGAAAGCCUGACGGAGCAACGCCGCGUGAGUGAUGAAGGUCUUCGGAUCGUAAAACUCUGUUAUUAGGGAAGAACAAAUGUGUAAGUAACUAUGCACGUCUUGACGGUACCUAAUCAGAAAGCCACGGCUAACUACGUG